UACGUAGGGUGCAAGCGUUAAUCGGAAUUACUGGGCGUAAAGCGUGCGCAGGCGGUGAUGUAAGACAGGUGUGAAAUCCCCGGGCUUAACCUGGGAACUGCAUUUGUGACUGCAUCGCUGGAGUGCGGCAGAGGGGGAUGGAAUUCCGCGUGUAGCAGUGAAAUGCGUAGAUAUGCGGAGGAACACCGAUGGCGAAGGCAAUCCCCUGGACCUGCACUGACGCUCAUGCACGAAAGCGUGGGGAGCAAACAGG
Molecule: ribosomal RNA, 253 nt
Filed under: uncultured bacterium
Lineage: Bacteria
Description: partial 16S ribosomal RNA
Rfam family: Bacterial small subunit ribosomal RNA
Source: RNAcentral